CACAACAUCGCCGGCUUGUUCUUGGUCAACAAAGCACAUCUGUAAUAUUGUAUUACACGUAGAGAUACAGGCAAGAUACAACAUUACGUUGUAGAUUGACAAAAAUCCGUCGUAUUCUCGUGUUCCGUUGGCCAUAGAAGGCACACUUUGAAGCUGUGAAAAUGCAAAUACUCGAAAAUGUUGGCGAGCCUAUCCUUAUAGAGGAGACUGCCGACGCAGCAACGUGGAAGUGGACGAUAAAAGACAUUAAAAGAUACUUCAACAUCGGGCGUGAAUCGUUCCUGUCGCACGAGUUUUCCAUUCAUCAACCUAGAGAUCGUCUUACUCGUUGGAAAUUGAAAUUAUAUCCGAAUGGUCAAGAGCCUUUCCCGGAAGGUCAAUCGAUAACGAUUAAUCUCGUGAAUUUGGACGGAUACGAGUUUCGAGUUGGCUACAGCUUCGGAAUCUUGGGGGCUCGAAACGAGAAGCUCGUUGAACUUACUACCAUGCUAAUGUCCUUUCAUCCAGCACGAAAUAUAACACAAGCAGUUCAGUUGGUGCAACAAGACAAGGUGCGGCAAGACAAUAGUCCGUUCGUUGUAGAUGGUUCGCUCAACGUUUACUGUCAAAUUUUUUUCGAGUCUUAUAGUGAUGACAUAUUGAAUUUAAGAGAUAUUCUGGGGUUUUGAUCGUUUCGAUAUUUUAUGACGUAGAAAAGAAUGAACGAGACUGAUUUAAAGACGUUUCGAUUUUUGAUCAUUCAUCAAUUUUUGAAUUUUAUACAAUGUACGACGCAGAACUUGUAAGAUUUUUAAUGUGUAAUUAUAUCUGUCUUAUAUUUCGUCUUUCUUUUUUGAAUUUAUACGUUCUAGUGCUAUAAAAAACUUUCAGAUUAUUUUCGAUUGUAUAAAUGUAUUGAUUAUGAUAUAUUUUGUACGAUUACGCGACUGAUAUAUCAGUCUAACAGUUAUUUGUAAAUGAUGAUAUAUUAACAAUAUUAAUAUUGUAUCAAUAAAAUUAAAGCAAUUUCGCAAUA
Molecule: long non-coding RNA, 1015 nt
Organism: Phymastichus coffea
Lineage: Eukaryota; Metazoa; Arthropoda; Insecta; Hymenoptera; Eulophidae
Exons: 2
Source: RefSeq, a predicted model, not a curated record